UUUUUUUUGUGUUUAGUUCAAGUACUCAUAUUUGCAUGUAGCAAAAAUAUGUAUCAAGAUAAAAUAAAAGGGCCAAAAAGGGUGUUUGAAAAUGGUAGUCUUGGAAAUAAAAAGGAAAUGAGGGUAAGAAAAUUUUGGCUUAUGUGUGAUGAAUGGUAUGUGAAGGACCUUUAUAUCAUAAAAAGAACCUUAAGAAAAAAUGUGGUCUUUUUUCCUUUUUUCUUUCUGUGGGGUUUGGUUGUAUUCAAUGGAAAGCAAAGGGAAACAGGAAAUAAACAUGAAAAUGUUAUGUUUUUGGGUCUUUUAAAGAAGCUGUGCCCUUACGACCUGCAGUAUCUUCAUAGUGUAACACUUUUU
RNAcentral lists this long non-coding RNA (357 nucleotides) under Solanum tuberosum (potato). Its description in RNAcentral is "long non-coding RNA (STUB_LNC003341)". Lineage: Eukaryota; Viridiplantae; Streptophyta; Magnoliopsida; Solanales; Solanaceae. The record is from RNAcentral.